RNAcentral lists this ribosomal RNA (1346 nucleotides) under uncultured bacterium. Its description in RNAcentral is "bacterial SSU rRNA". It matches the Rfam family "Bacterial small subunit ribosomal RNA", at positions 28 to 1381 of the family's 1533-position model. The record is from RNAcentral.
GACGAACGCUGGCGGCGUGCUUAACACAUGCAAGUCGAACGGAAAGGCCCUGCUUUUGUGGGGUGCUCGAGUGGCGAACGGGUGAGUAACACGUGAGUAACCUGCCCUUGACUUUGGGAUAACUUCAGGAAACUGGGGCUAAUACCGGAUAGGAGCUCCUGCUGCAUGGUGGGGGUUGGAAAGUUUCGGCGGUUGGGGAUGGACUCGCGGCUUAUCAGCUUGUUGGUGGGGUAGUGGCUUACCAAGGCUUUGACGGGUAGCCGGCCUGAGAGGGUGACCGGCCACAUUGGGACUGAGAUACGGCCCAGACUCCUACGGGAGGCAGCAGUGGGGAAUAUUGCACAAUGGGCGGAAGCCUGAUGCAUCAACGCCGCGUGCGGGAUGACGGCCUUCGGGUUGUAAACCGCUUUCGCCUGUGACGAAGCGUGAGUGACGGUAAUGGGUAAAGAAGCACCGGCUAACUACGUGCCAGCAGCCGCGGUGAUACGUAGGGUGCGAGCGUUGUCCGGAUUUAUUGCGCGUAAAGGGCUCGUAGGUGGUUGAUCGCGUCGGAAGUGUAAUCUUGGGGCUUAACCCUGAGCGUGCUUUCGAUACGGGUUGACUUGAGGAAGGUAGGGGAGAAUGGAAUUCCUGGUGGAGCGGUGGAAUGCGCAGAUAUCAGGAGGAACACCAGUGGCGAAGGCGGUUCUCUGGGCCUUUCCUGACGCUGAGGAGCGAAAGCGUGGGGAGCGAACAGGCUUAGAUACCCUGGUAGUCCACGCUGUAAACGGUGGGUACUAGGUGUGGGGUCCAUUCCACGGGUUCCGUGCCGUAGCUAACGCUUUAAGUACCCCGCCUGGGGAGUACGGCCGCAAGGCUAAAACUCAAAGGAAUUGACGGGGCCCCGCACAAGCGGCGGAGCAUGCGGAUUAAUUCGAUGCAACGCGUAGAACCUUACCUGGGUUUGACAUGGAUCGGGAGCGCUCAGAGAUGGGUGUGCCUCUUUUGGGGUCGGUUCACAGGUGGUGCAUGGCUGUCGUCAGCUCGUGUCGUGAGAUGUUGGGUUAAGUCCCGCAACGAGCGCAACCCUUGUUCACUGUUGCCAGCACGUUAUGGUGGGGACUCAGUGGAGACCGCCGGGGUCAACUCGGAGGAAGGUGGGGAUGACGUCAAGUCAUCAUGCCCCUUAUGUCCAGGGCUUCACGCAUGCUACAAUGGCUGGUACAGAGAGUGGCGAGCCUGUGAGGGUGAGCGAAUCUCGGAAAGCCGGUCUCAGUUCGGAUUGGGGUCUGCAACUCGACCUCAUGAAGUCGGAGUCGCUAGUAAUCGCAGAUCAGCAACGCUGCGGUGAAUACGUUCCCGGGGCU